RNAcentral lists this ribosomal RNA (1531 nucleotides) under uncultured Paraglomus. RNAcentral describes it as "eukaryotic LSU rRNA". The stretch from base 738 to 1531 matches the Rfam family "Eukaryotic large subunit ribosomal RNA", at positions 1 to 695 of the family's 3401-position model. The record is from RNAcentral. Lineage: Eukaryota; Fungi; Glomeromycota; Glomeromycetes; Paraglomerales; Paraglomeraceae.
UCGCUCUUCAACGAGGAAUCCCUAGUAAGCACAAGUCACCAGCUUGUGCUGAUUACGUCCCUGCCCUUUGUACACACCGCCCGUCGCUACUACCGAUUGAAUGGCUUAGUGAGGCCCUCGGAUCGACUUUCUGAGACUGGCAACAGUCUUUGAUUGUUGAGAAGUUGGUCAAACUUGGUCAUUUAGAGGAAGUAAAAGUCGUAACAAGGUUUCCGUAGGUGAACCUGCGGAAGGAUCAUUACUGAUUUAGCGAACCGAGCAUUAGCGAGGUUUUGCGAUCACUUGUAUUUAAAACCCAACUCAUAAAAUAUGUAUAUUUUUGAAAAAUAAAUUAAAGAUCACUUUCAACAACGGAUCUCUUGGCUCUCGCAUCGAUGAAGAACGCAGCGAAAUGCGAUAAGUAGUGUGAAUUGCAGAACUUUGUGAACCAUCGAAUCUUUGAACGCAUAUUGCGCCUUUUUCGGAAGGCAUGUCUGUUUGAGGGCACCAUUUGACAAAUAAUGUGCGCGUUGCGUGUAGAAAGCGCAGCGCGCACACGUCGAUGAGCUUUCCAAAAAUACCGUAGGUUUUUUGGUAGCGCGUAAUGAACAGCGUGGGCUUUUUCAUCAAUUCUCGUGUAGUAAAAUAAAUUUGACGGCGCCUGGGUUGUGAAAAAGAGCGAGCCGCGCACUGGGUGUGGCAAAUUUUAUUCCCUGCCCCAAAGCCACUCUUUCCCCUGCGAAAGAUUUUUGUAUUCAGGGCCUCAAAUCAGACAAGAGUACCCGCCGAACUUAAGCAUAUCAAUAAGCGGAGGAAAAGAAACUAACAAGGAUUCCCCUAGUAACGGCGAGUGAAGCGGGAACAGCUCAAAUUUUAAAUCUGGCCUGCUGUGUUGCGGCCCGAGUUGUAGUUUGAAGGAGUCUGUCGCCGGUGUGACUAUGGCACAAGUCCUCUGGAACGGGGCAUCGUAGAGGGUGAGAAUCCCGUCUCUGGUCGUGGUCGCUAGGCAUCCGGCAGGCAUCCGAAGAGUCGAGUUGUUUGGGAUUGCAGCUCCAAAAGGGUGGUAAACUCCAUCUAAGGCUAAAUAUUGACGAGAGACCGAUAGCGAACAAGUACCGUGAGGGAAAGAUGAAAAGAACUUUGAAAAGAGAGUAAAACAGUACGUGAAAUUGUUGAAAGGGAAACGCUUGAAGUCAGUCGUGCCGGCGUCGGGUUCAGCUCACUUUUUGGAGUGGGCGUAUUUUCGCGCAUGGCAGGUCAGCGUCAGUUUUGCGCGGCGUGAAAGGGCUCGGGUAAGGUAGCUCACUUCGGAGAGUGUUAUAGACCUGAGCAGAUGCGCUGGGCGAGACUGAGGAUUGCAGCGGACACCCCUCGGGGCGCGGCGACCGAUCCCUGCUCCAGCCACCCGCGUUCGAUAGCAUGCUAACGGGCGUCGGGAGCGGCGGUGCACAGGACAGGCAAGCCGGCGGUUCGCUAAGGACGCUGACGUAAUGGCUUUAAACGACCCGUCUUGAAACACGGACCAAGGAGUCUAACAUAUGUGCGAGUGUUU